RNAcentral lists this ribosomal RNA (254 nucleotides) under uncultured bacterium. Its description in RNAcentral is "partial 16S ribosomal RNA". It matches the Rfam family "Bacterial small subunit ribosomal RNA", at positions 524 to 776 of the family's 1533-position model. The record is from RNAcentral.
UACGUAGGGUGCGAGCGUUGUCCGGAAUUAUUGGGCGUAAAGAGCUCGUAGGCGGUGUGUCACGUCGAUCGUGAAAACCUGGGGCUCAACUCUGGGCGUGCGGUCGAUACGGGCAUCACUUGAGUUCGGCAGGGGAGACUGGAAUUCCUGGUGUAGCGGUGAAAUGCGCAGAUAUCAGGAGGAACACCGGUGGCGAAGGCGGGUCUCUGGGCCGAUACUGACGCUGAGGAGCGAAAGCAUGGGUAGCGAACAGG